RNAcentral lists this long non-coding RNA (262 nucleotides) under Phaseolus vulgaris (common bean). RNAcentral describes it as "long non-coding RNA (PVUL_LNC003119)". Lineage: Eukaryota; Viridiplantae; Streptophyta; Magnoliopsida; Fabales; Fabaceae. The record is from RNAcentral.
GGAAGCGUGGCUUUCAUAGUGUGGUGAGCUUGGGCCCUCCUCCAUCAUCCCCUCCCUCUUGAAAAGGAUUUGUCCUCAAAUCCAAGGCUUUUGCUUGGGGGAUGGUUGUGGCUGGAUGGUGUCCAUCAUCUCCUCCUUCAUGAGAAGAUCUAUCCUCAGAUGUGCAUUCUUGAUCUCGGAUAGCAGCCUCUUGCUUCGUCAAGAUGUAUCCUCCCGGAUCAAAUGUCAAUCUAUGUGAAUCCUGAAACAAAGCAAAGGAGUU